Molecule: ribosomal RNA, 370 nt
Filed under: uncultured organism
Description: bacterial SSU rRNA
Rfam family: Bacterial small subunit ribosomal RNA
Source: RNAcentral
CGGAGGUGGCAAGCGUUACUCGGAAUUAUUGGGUGUAAAGGGCAAGUAGGCGGUCUAAUAAGUGGGUGGUGAAAUACUCUGGCUCAAUCAGAGAACUGCCUUCCAAACUGUUAGACUUGAGUGUGACAGGGGAAAAUGGAAUUCUAGGUGUAAGGGUGAAAUCUGUAGAUAUCUAGAAGAACACCAGCGGCGAAGGCGAUUUUCUGGGUCACAACUGACGCUAAAUUGCGAAAGCUAGGGGAGCAAACAGAAUUAGAUACUCUGGUAGUCCUAGCCGUAAACGAUGAGCACUAGAUGUCAGCUCCUUUAGGAGUUGGUGUCGCAGCUAACGCAUUAAGUGCUCCACCUGGGGACUACGGUCGCAAGGCUA